UACGUAGGUGGCAAGCGUUGUCCGGAUUUAUUGGGUUUAAAGGGUGCGUAGGCGGCCCUGUAAGUCAGUGGUGAAAUCCUGGAGCUCAACUCCAGAACUGCCUUUGAUACUGAGAGCCUUGAGUUCGGGAGAGGUGAGUGGAACUGCGAGUGUAGAGGUGAAAUUCGUAGAUAUUCGCAAGAACACCAGUGGCGAAGGCGGCCAACUGGUCCGGUACUGACGCUGAGGUGCGAAAGCGUGGGGAGCAAACAGG
RNAcentral lists this ribosomal RNA (253 nucleotides) under uncultured bacterium. Its description in RNAcentral is "partial 16S ribosomal RNA". It matches the Rfam family "Bacterial small subunit ribosomal RNA", at positions 524 to 776 of the family's 1533-position model. The record is from RNAcentral.